RNAcentral lists this unclassified non-coding RNA (279 nucleotides) under plant metagenome. RNAcentral describes it as "partial contains small subunit ribosomal RNA, internal transcribed spacer 1, and 5.8S ribosomal RNA". The record is from RNAcentral.
UUUCCGUAGGUGAACCUGCGGAGGGAUCAUUAUUGUAUAACCAAAGUCCCAGGGCUAUCGCUAACCUGUACCGUCGUACACUCCCAACUGCCCUCACACACAUCCAUCUCACCCCUAUGCGCACCACCGCCGGGGUCCCCCUUUGGCUUGUUCGGAGCGUGGCUUUCGUUUUCACACAACCUUAGUAUGCAUUGUUGAAUGUAUUUUUAGUUUUUCCAAUCACGCAAUCAUUACAACUGUCAACAACGGAACCCUUGGCUCUCGCAUCGACACAAGACC